This 484-nucleotide ribosomal RNA is filed under the name uncultured bacterium. Its description in RNAcentral is "partial 16S ribosomal RNA". It matches the Rfam family "Bacterial small subunit ribosomal RNA", at positions 28 to 507 of the family's 1533-position model. The record is from RNAcentral.
AUUGAACGCUGGCGGCAUGCUUUACACAUGCAAGUCGAACGGCAGCGCGGGCUUCGGCCUGGCGGCGAGUGGCGAACGGGUGAGUAAUGCAUCGGAACGUGCCCAGUAGUGGGGGAUAGCCCGGCGAAAGCCGGAUUAAUACCGCAUACGACCUGAGGGUGAAAGCGGGGGACCGAAAGGCCUCGCGCUAUUGGAGCGGCCGAUGUCGGAUUAGCUAGUUGGUGGGGUAAAGGCUUACCAAGGCGACGAUCCGUAGCUGGUCUGAGAGUACGACCAGCCACACUGGGACUGAGACACGUCCCAGACUCCUACGGGAGGCAGCAGUGGGGAAUUUUGGACAAUGGGGGCAACCCUGAUCCAGCCAUGCCGCGUGCGGGAAGAAGGCCUUCGGGUUGUAAACCGCUUUUGUUCGGGAAGAAAUCCUCUGGGCUAAUACCCCGGGGGGAUGACGGUACCGGAAGAAUAAGCACCGGCUAACUACGUG